This 721-nucleotide long non-coding RNA is filed under the name Homo sapiens (human). The record is from RNAcentral. Lineage: Eukaryota; Metazoa; Chordata; Mammalia; Primates; Hominidae.
AGAGGUGAAGAUACGCAGGACGUCCUCUAAAGCAACUUCCGUGGGUGCCAGGUUGUGGGCUGGGGGCGGUGCUGACCUUGAGAGAGCGGAGGAGGCGCAGGCGCAGCACAGUUUAAACUUGAUUUUGUGAGGGGACGAACAGCGUGACAAUUAAAAGAAGAUCUGGGAAUCAAAAGCUUCCUGAGGCCUUCACCAGAAGCAGAUGCUGGUGCCGUGCUUCUACAGCCUGCAGAACUGAAGGACUUUACAGCUUCUCUUUCGCAUAUCCAAAUUGCCAGCAUCACCGCUCUUGCACUCCAAGCCAUUAUUAAGUAAAGUAAAGAACACAAACACUGUGAUACUGCUACACUUGAUCUGAUAACCAAGAAGUCUACUAAGUGACUAACAGCAGAGCAACUGGGAACCUAAUUCUGACCAAAAAGGAGGAAUUGUUUGGCUAAUUGGAAGUGACAGAAACCUUGGGAGAAAGCAACCGCAUACCAAGGAUAAUUAUAAGAAGAAGAGAAGACAUGGAGAAGAGGAGGGAGUAGUUGUGACCGUGGAGGCAGAGAAUGGAGUAAUGUGAUCAUAAAUCAAGGAAUGCUGACAGCCACUAAAGCUGGAGAAGGCCAAGGACAGAUAUUCAAUCCUCCCGUAGAAGUACAGCCCUGCUAAUGCAUUGAUUUUGGACUUCUGGCCUCAGAACUGUAAGAGAAUAAAUUUCUAUUGUUUUAAGCCUUCA